Molecule: ribosomal RNA, 497 nt
Filed under: uncultured bacterium
Lineage: Bacteria
Description: partial 16S ribosomal RNA
Rfam family: Bacterial small subunit ribosomal RNA
Source: RNAcentral
GAUGAACGCUGGCGGCGUGCCUAAUACAUGCAAGUCGAGCGAACAGACGAGGAGCUUGCUCCUUUGACGUUAGCGGCGGACGGGUGAGUAACACGUAGGUAACCUACCUAUAAGACUGGGAUAACUUCGGGAAAUCGGAGCUAAUACCGGAUAAUAUUUCGAACCGCAUGGUUCGAUAGUGAAAGAUGGCUUUGCUAUCACUUAUAGAUGGACCUGCGCCGUAUUAGCUAGUUGGUAAGGUAACGGCUUACCAAGGCAACGAUACGUAGCCGACCUGAGAGGGUGAUCGGCCACACUGGAACUGAGACACGGUCCAGACUCCUACGGGAGGCAGCAGUAGGGAAUCUUCCGCAAUGGGCGAAAGCCUGACGGAGCAACGCCGCGUGAGUGAUGAAGGUCUUCGGAUCGUAAAACUCUGUUAUUAGGGAAGAACAAACGUGUAAGUAACUGUGCACGUCUUGACGGUACCUAAUCAGAAAGCCACGGCUAACUACGUG